This is a non-coding RNA of Triticum aestivum (bread wheat), 135 nucleotides long. The record is from Rfam. NCBI's taxonomy places the organism in Eukaryota, Viridiplantae, Streptophyta, Magnoliopsida, Poales, Poaceae.
AUGAUACUUCCUUCAUCCCAAAAUUCAUGUCUUACAUUUAUCCAGAUAAGAAUGUAUCUAUUACUAAAAUAUGAUUUAAUACAUCCGUAUUUGGACAAAUAUAAGACAAGAGUUUUAGGACAGUGGGAGUGCUAU